RNAcentral lists this ribosomal RNA (440 nucleotides) under uncultured bacterium. RNAcentral's name for it is "partial 16S ribosomal RNA". It matches the Rfam family "Bacterial small subunit ribosomal RNA", at positions 338 to 795 of the family's 1533-position model. The record is from RNAcentral.
CCUACGGGUGGCAGCAGUGGGGGAUAUUGCACAAUGGGGGAAACCCUGAUGCAGCGACGCCGCGUGUGGGAAGACGGUCCUCUGGAUUGUAAACCACUGUCCCCAGGGACGAAGAUGACGGUACCUGGGGAGGAAGCUCCGGCUAACUACGUGCCAGCAGCCGCGGUAAUACGUAGGGAGCGAGCGUUGUCCGGAAUUACUGGGUGAAAAGGGAGCGUAGGCGGGACUGCAAGUUGAGGGUCAAAUCUACCGGCUCAACCGGUAGCCGCACUCAAAACUGCAGUUCUUGAGUGAAGGAGAGGCAGGCGGAAUUCCUAGUGUAGCGGUGAAAUGCGUAGAUAUUAGGAGGAACACCAGUGGCGAAGGCGGCCUGCUGGGCUUUUACUGACGCUGAGGCUCGAAAGUGUGGGGAGCAAACAGGAUUAGAUACCCCGGUAGUC